GACGAACGCUGGCGGCGUGCUUAACACAUGCAAGUCGAACGGAAAGGCCCUGCUUUUGUGGGGUGCUCGAGUGGCGAACGGGUGAGUAACACGUGAGUAACCUGCCCUUGACUUUGGGAUAACUUCAGGAAACUGGGGCUAAUACCGGAUAGGAGCUCCUGCUGCAUGGUGGGGGUUGGAAAGUUUCGGCGGUUGGGGAUGGACUGGCGGCUUAUCAGCUUGUUGGUGGGGUAGUGGCUUACCAAGGCUUUGACGGGUAGCCGGCCUGAGAGGGUGACCGGCCACAUGGGGACUGAGAUACGGCCCAGACGCCUACGGGAGGCAGCAGUGGGGAAUAUUGCACAAUGGGCGGGAGCCUGAUGCAGCAACGCCGCGUGCGGGAUGACGGCCUUCGGGGUGUAAACCGCUGUCGCCUGUGACGAAGCGUGAGUGACGGUAAUGGGUAAAGAAGCACCGGCUAACUACGUG
Molecule: ribosomal RNA, 468 nt
Filed under: uncultured bacterium
Lineage: Bacteria
Description: partial 16S ribosomal RNA
Rfam family: Bacterial small subunit ribosomal RNA
Source: RNAcentral